GUGUUUUAAUUCGAAGAAACGCGAAGAAGUUUACCUCAGAUUGAGUCCCAGACGACAUCUCCUUAAUCGGGUAGUUCCCUUCGGGGAUAUUGUGUGCAGGUGGGUCUUGGUUUUUGUUAGCUCGUGUCGUGGGAUGUUGGGUUAAGUCCCGCAACGAGCGCAACCCUUGUCAUUAGUGUCCAUCAUUAAGUUGGGCACUCUAGAGAGACUGCCAGGGAUAACCUGGAGGAAGGUGGGGAUGACGUCAAAUCAUCAUGCCCCUUAUGCUUAGAGCUACACACGUGCUACAAUGGGUAGUACGGAGGGUUGCCAAUCCGUAAAGUGGAGCUACUCCCUUACAGCUACUCUCAGUUCGGAUUGUAGGCUGAAACUCUCCUACAUGAAACUGUAGUUACUAGUAACUCCAGCUUCAGAAUUCUACCUUUAAUUCUUUCCCGUGGCUUUUCCAACACGCGCUCCACACACACGG
RNAcentral lists this ribosomal RNA (469 nucleotides) under Clostridioides difficile. RNAcentral's name for it is "bacterial SSU rRNA". It matches the Rfam family "Bacterial small subunit ribosomal RNA", at positions 941 to 1387 of the family's 1533-position model. Lineage: Bacteria; Bacillati; Bacillota; Clostridia; Peptostreptococcales; Peptostreptococcaceae. The record is from RNAcentral.